This 395-nucleotide ribosomal RNA is filed under the name uncultured type I methanotroph R17. RNAcentral describes it as "bacterial SSU rRNA". It matches the Rfam family "Bacterial small subunit ribosomal RNA", at positions 463 to 858 of the family's 1533-position model. Lineage: Bacteria; Pseudomonadati; Pseudomonadota; Gammaproteobacteria; Methylococcales; Methylococcaceae. The record is from RNAcentral.
GGUAGACUGACAUUACCUAUACAAGAAGCACCGGCUAACUCCGUGCCAGCAGCCGCGGUAAUACGGAGGGUGCAAGCGUUAAUCGGAAUUACUGGGCGUAAAGCGUGCGUAGGCGGUUGUUUAAGUCAGAUGUGAAAGCCCUGGCUUAACCUGGGAACUGCAUUUGAUACUGGGCAACUAGAGUUUAGUAGAGGGGAGUGGAAUUUCAGGUGUAGCGGUGAAAUGCGUAGAGAUCUGAAGGAACACCAGUGGCGAAGGCGGCUCCCUGGACUAAAACUGACGCUGAGGUACGAAAGCGUGGGUAGCAAACAGGGUUAGAUACCCUGGUAGUCCACGCCGUAAACGAUGUCAACUAACUGUUGGGUUCUUAAAGAACUUAGUAGUGGAGCAAGGGC